This 1536-nucleotide ribosomal RNA is filed under the name Triticum aestivum (bread wheat). Its description in RNAcentral is "partial small subunit ribosomal RNA". The record is from RNAcentral. Lineage: Eukaryota; Viridiplantae; Streptophyta; Magnoliopsida; Poales; Poaceae.
AUGGACCACCACCGGCAGAAAGUAUCAGGGACCCCCUCGGCUCAGCUCGCCGCCACCGGUAGCUCCUCCGGCCAGUCGCGGGAGAAGAUAUCUGGGACAACACCAGCGCCCUCGGUUCAGUUCGCCGUCGCUGGUAGCUCCGCCGGCCAGCCACAAUCUGCUCGAUGGCCUAUGUAUAACCAUCCACCAGAUGAUCCUGAUGAUACAGAUCAACAACAUGAUAGUGAUGCCAGAAACACUACAUAUCCAGCAGAGUUAUACACACUUGAUGAAUUCCUAGCCAAGGAGGACCUGCUAGACUCCUUCGCCGAGGAGAUUGCUGUGGAGUUGAAGGGAACACUUGAGGCUCUUCAAGCAAGAGCACUUAGCAGGAGUGGUCCAAGGAUAUAUGUGAAUAGACCGCGUGAAGAAGCACAUCAACAACUUGUACGAGAUUACUUCUGCGACAAUCCUCUCUACGGCGCCAAAAAAUUUCGGAGAAGAUUCAGGAUGAGACGACUUCUCUUUCUUCGCAUCGUCAAUGCACUAGGUGAGUGGUCUCCAUACUUCACCACAAGGAUAGAUGCGCUUAACCGUGAAGGGCUCUCUCCACUGCAAAAGUGCACGGCGGCAAUACGCCAAUUGGCUUAUGGCACACCUGCAGAUAGUCUUGAUGAAUAUCUCAAGAUUGGCGAGACUACCGCGGUUGAUUGCUUGAAGAACUUUGUGCAAGGAGUGAUUGAUACCUAUGCUGCAGAGUAUUUACGAAGCCCCAACACUGAAGAUACAGAGUGCUUGCUCUGCAUUGGCGAAGGUCGUGGGUUUCCUGGCAUGUUAGGAAGCCUGGAUUGUAUGCAUUGGCGGUGGGAAAAAUGUCCUAUUGCAUGGAAGGGCCAAUUUACUCGUGGUGAUAAAGGGUGGCCUAGUCUUAUUCUGGAGGCAGUUGCUUCACGAGAUCUCCGGAUAUGGCAUGCCUACUUUGGUAUUGCUGGGUCAAACAAUGACAUCAAUGUGCUGAAUCAAUCACCAUUGUUUAUCAAGCAGCUAAAAGGCCAAGCUCCUCAAGUGAACUUUUUUGUAAAUGACAAGGAAUAUCAACAUGGUUAUUACCUUGUAGAUGGGAUAUACCCAGAAUGGGCAGCUUUUGUGAAGACAAUAUCGAUGCCACAGACAGAGAAGCACAAGUUGUUUGCUGCACAUCAGGAAGGGGCAAGGAAGGAUGUGGAACGUGCUUUUGGUGUCUUGCAGGGUCGAUUCUCUAUCUUGCGUCGUCCUGCACGUUUGUAUGACCGGGGUGAUAUCCAGAAGGUCAUGAUAGCUUGCAUCAUUCUUCACAAUAUGGUAGUCGAGGAUGAAGAAGAAGCGGUGGCUAAUAUUCUUAAUUUGAACAAGGAGGUGGGUACAUCCAUUGUUCUACCAUCAGUAUUCACACACGGCGACAUACCGGUAUUCGCCCAGGUGCUACAAAGGGAUGCAAGAAUCCGAGAUCGCGGGACUCAUAGAGCACUCAAAACUGAUUUGGUAGAGCAUAUUUGGAAAAAGUUUGGGUCAAGAUAG